CCACAUCAAUAUUCUCGGCAACGAAAAAGCCGACACAUUAGCCAAGGAGGGGACGUCACUCAAGGAAUUAGACUAUUUAGAAUACAGCAGCCAGGAAUUUACAAGCAUAGCUAAAACAAAGAUCAAAGAAGCAUGGAAAACCCGUCUACAACAAGAAAACACCCAUCGCUAUCAAAUAGAUAGCAAUCUUGUCGACAAGGUUUACAUCAACCAUCCUUCCAUCAAAAUAUGCAAACUAAUCACUAGGCUUAAAACAGUAAAUGUAAUCAGAGAUUUCACCUAUACACCAAUAAAAUGCCCGUGUGGACAAAUUGCAACCACACCACACCUGCUAAUCAACUGUAAUCAACUAUACGAUGAACGUCAACCAAUGAUCAAAAAACUAACGGAGAGGGGAAAAACUCUCUGUCUUAAAUCCCUACUCUCUCCAUCACCUAAUGAGAGAUACUGGACAUCUCAGCUUAUCUGGGACUUUGUUGAAAAAAUAGGAAUGACAAAAUACAUAUAACAAACAAAACCAACCAAUAUCAACACAGUAGAACGAAAUCGCAAAAAUGUCCCCUCGAGGGAAGCGCAAAUCGUUCUACGACACAGAUAAUAUUACAUUAAAACUAAUUAACCAAGCACAUUCACACAAAAUCACACAGCAGGAUGAUGAGUAAAAACGUCCUCUCGAAGGAAGCUCAUUCAUUCUACACCUCUAAAAAUACUUGGCAGCAGGGUAUUGGCGCAAAACUGUCCCCACCGAGGGAAACGCUACAUACCCUGAAAACUCAAUGGAUUAUAUCAUCUUUAUUUUAAUUCGACUAAACAAAACAUUGAUUGUAGAUCUAAAUAAUCAACCAUAUAUGCUUUAUUGUACCUUAUGAAAUUUGAAUAAAAUUAGUUUAUAGAUCAUAUUUUUUAUUACUUCAUGUCGAUUAAAUAAAUAUUGAUUGUAUAUUGAUUAACAUAUAUGCCAUAACGGAUUUUUACCACUUGUAAUUAACAAAUAUUGUAACUGAUUGUCUAUUAAUAAAGAUUGACUAUAUAAACGGAACUCAUUACCCCUAGUACUACCACUAGUAAUUAACGAAUACUGCAACUGAUUAUCGAUUUAUCAUCUCUCAAUCAAAAACUCUACGGCAAGCCGAGCGUCUUGGCAAUCAAACAAACAGCCGAGACCCAGCUUACACAAAUCAAUCACGCCCAGGGUGUCAAACAGAUGGUAUAAAUUAACUCACGAAAAAAUGCAAAUCAUUCAUCGUCAUGGCCAGUAAAUUGAACGUCGCACUAACAGGAUCUUCGUAUAUGACGCAUCUCCAGAGGUACGCCAGGAAAACCAACCAACCAAUCCACCAUCACCACAACAUUCAGAACUACGGAGUAGGUGGGGCCACAGUUGCCAAAUGCAGAAGUAGGGAGCUGGAUUCUUCCUUCUGAGAACCAACAACAAAGGAAUGAACCAUAGAAACAAAAUACAAACAAUACCACCAUACCGGACAACAUAUCCAAAUGGAAGGAAGAAUGGACCAGGCCCUAAAACUCACCAACAAGCCCCAAGGAAGAGUUGCACCGCCCUGCCAUUCGACCGGACAGAACGACCUGACCAACCAAGAUAACAAAAUAGAUAUAUAUAUAUGUUCGUCCACCUUCAUGUAUACAAAUGUCUCUGUCUGUGUAAAUGUUCGUCCAUGUCCAUGUCUGUCCUACCAUAUGUCUGUAACCGUCCCAGUUUGCACUUGUUACACCUGUUAAAUCACGUCUCGUCUCUGUAUAUUCGUUGCACAUAUAUAUCUAUUAAAAAAAAAAAAAAAAAAACCUAAUUAAUC
Molecule: long non-coding RNA, 1811 nt
Organism: Patella vulgata (common limpet)
Lineage: Eukaryota; Metazoa; Mollusca; Gastropoda; Patellidae
Exons: 2
Source: RefSeq, a predicted model, not a curated record